RNAcentral lists this ribosomal RNA (253 nucleotides) under uncultured prokaryote. RNAcentral describes it as "partial 16S ribosomal RNA". It matches the Rfam family "Bacterial small subunit ribosomal RNA", at positions 525 to 777 of the family's 1533-position model. The record is from RNAcentral.
ACGGAGGGUGCAAGCGUUAUCCGGAUUCACUGGGUUUAAAGGGUGCGUAGGCGGACAGGUAAGUCAGUGGUGAAAUCUCCGAGCUUAACUCGGAAACUGCCGUUGAUACUAUUUGUCUUGAAUAUUGUUGAGGUUUGCGGAAUGGGUCAUGUAGCGGUGAAAUGCAUAGAUAUGACCCGGAACGCCAAUUGCGAAGGCAGCAGGCUAAACAAAGAUUGACGCUGAGGCUCGAAAGCGUGGGGAUCAAACAGGA